RNAcentral lists this long non-coding RNA (2632 nucleotides) under Sus scrofa (pig). Its description in RNAcentral is "lncRNA (ENSSSCG00040005842.1)". Lineage: Eukaryota; Metazoa; Chordata; Mammalia; Artiodactyla; Suidae. The record is from RNAcentral.
GUAGGCGGAAAAUGAUGAUGACGGUGAUAAUAACAGCAGCGAUGAGGAUGGCCAGCAGUGACCGGGCGUUUACCGCAUCCCAGAUGCUGUGCCAGGUUUCCUACGCGUUCUUCCGUUUCAUCCUUGCAACAAGCCCAUGAAGUACCACGACUUAGAAAUGUCCCAUUUCACAUGAGGAAACAUUUGGACACGUUAAGCAACAUACCCAGUUUCACACACUCUGAAAUUGUAGAGCGAGGCAUGAGUUUGAGAAAGAAGACUGCACGCAAGUAACUCCAUCAUAAGGUAGAAACUGCAGUGUAUGCUAGAAAGGCAAAGACAGACCCUUUGGGGCUCAGAAAGCGAAGGGGUGCGGGGUGACGGCGGUAGGGGCGGUGAUGGCGAUGGUGACGCUGAGGGUGACCAUGGGGAUACUCGUGGUGGUGGCAGUGCUGCUAAUGACCAUUCAUGAUAGUCGUUGAGUGAUGUCCCUGGGUGCCCACUUGUUGGGCUUCUGCCCAUGCCAGGCCCUGACCUGGGUGCUUUCUGCUACCUCCUGUCAGCCUCAUAAUAACGUCCCAAUGUCAAGGUCAUAACCCCCGUUUCACUCACGAGGACGCUGAGCUGGAGACGGGUCAAUCGCCUGCCUGAGGCAGGCAUCCAGUCUGAGCUGGGCUGGAGCUUAAGCGUGCCUCAUGGCAGAGCGGCCGCGCUCUCCCCACCAGGGUCCCCAGCCUGUGGGCCAUGGGGCCAGGUCUCCCACAGAUGCUCCAUAAAUACCUAUUGAACAAAUAUUGAAUGAAUGGGCCCCCAGGGGGUCAAAGCCUUAAGCCCGGACGACAGAAACAAGCUGUCUUGAGGGAGUGUGCAUAACCAUUAUUUAAGAAGAUGCGGUGGAGCUGUGAUGACUAAAAUGCAAGUUAAUGGUAAGGCGUCAUGUCCACGUGUCUUCUGUAUAGCUCUGUAUUUCCCAAUGAAAACACACCGAGUGUGUCGUUGGGAGGAGUUCUGAGAAAUAUUUGCACGCACAAAGGAGCCCUGCGGCUGAAAGUGGUGGCAAGCCUCCUGCCGUCCUGUGUGGGGUGUAAAGUGCUUUGCCCAGAGUCUGGCACAGAGGCCCCUUAGAGGAAGGAGGAGACCCACCAGGCUGGGGAUCGGGAGCCCAUGGCAUUUGUCCCGGCUCUACAAGUGACUUACUGGACCCAAACUGCCACUUUCUGUGGCUGUCUCGUGAGACCCGAGGCCAGCAUCUGCGAGAUUUCCCAAGCGCCUGGCGAAUGCGUGCAUGAAUGAAUGGAUGACGAGAGAAGGAAGCAGUGAACACGCCGAAGGGCGCUCAGGGAGCCCAUGAGGGGUGUUUUCCCCAAGGAGUGCUUGAGAGCGAGUUUCUCAGCCGGAGAGCAGAAGAAUGCCGGGUUCACCAGGGCCCACCCACUCCAGACUCCCAGCUCUGUGAGCGGGGUCAGGAGGCCACAGCGGCCUCCCUGGGGGUCUGAUCUUGACCCUGUUGGAGAAGGGGUGGCGGCUGGAGCUCGGCUGUGAGGCCACUCUCAGCAAGGCUGUGCUCACCGUUUUAGGAUGCAUUUGUCAAACUUAAGUGCAGGUUGACAGAUGGUGGUGGUAUAUUAUUCUCACAUUCUCUCCUUCCCACAGGCCUCCCUCCAGCCUAGCCCUCCGAGCUCUUAAAAACCUCUUACACCUCUCGACCAUGAGACCACGGCUGGCUCUCGGCAGGUAAGCACCCGCGUUGCUCCCUCGCCAGGGCAGGGAGCUGCCUUCGCUGGAGCCUCACACUCCAGCGAGACUUCAGGAAAAAGCUGCCAAAUGUCCAGAGUCCUGCAGCUGGCAUGUCUACCAAUGACAGCACAGGACUCCUGGAGCAGAAGCCAGGGAGCUGCUUCUGACCCCAUGUCAGAGCCUUUAUUGCUCAGGAAAAUCUCAAGCAACCCCCUGCCUUUCUGGGUUUCGGGUUCCUUGCGUGAAAAGUGGGGGAAUAGGAUUCAGUGAACUGGGCAGGCCGUAAGCCAGCUCUUCCGGCCUCGGGCCAAGGCCAGGUGCUGGGAGGAGGGACAGUGGGGAUGGCCAGGGUCUACGACCUGAGGUCUCACCUCCUGCUCCGUUGCCCCAUGAGCUCCCGUCCACAGGGAGCCUGGCUUUGUGUGUGCCAUGCGACUGCAUGUAUGCGUUUGGGACCAGGACUUGUGCCCCUUCCAGCAAACGGUGCCUGACCUUGAACUUGAACAUGGACAAGUCACCAGCUCUGCACUCUCCCUGUCAUGGCUGGGCGGUACCCAGGGUGGGAAGGGCAGAGGCUGCCCAUGUGCUGAGAGCAGAGGGAGGGCAUGGAGAUCAAGCUGGGGGAGGGGCACCGCCGGUGGCGGGGAGACCAGGUCAGCCCGGCAGUGAGGCCUUCAUUCGUGCGGGAGUAAGUGCGUGGCCAAAACUCGUGGGCACAUCUGCAGGGCAGGCUAAACGAAUCCUACUAGGAACGAUGAGGUUGCAGGUUCGAUUCCUGGCCUCGCUCAGUGGGUUAAGGAUCUCGCAUUGCCAUGAGCUGUGGUGUAGGUCGCAGACACGGCUCAGAUCCUGCGUUGCUGUGGCUGUGGCUGUGGCCAGCAGCUGUAACUCCAAUUCGACCCCUAGCCUGGGAACU